This is a long non-coding RNA of Tachysurus vachellii, 511 nucleotides long. RefSeq lists it as uncharacterized. Lineage: Eukaryota; Metazoa; Chordata; Actinopteri; Siluriformes; Bagridae. The transcript has 3 exons. The record is from RefSeq and is a predicted model, not a curated record.
GGUUUAAACUCACAAGCCUUUGAGCCAUAAGCCAACACUAUUACCACUGAGCUACCACAUCUCACACUCUCUUGUCUAUUUCUUUAAAGUGAUCUACCUCCCUGUAGUGGUGGUCGUGUGUGUGGUUGUGAUCUUCGCUCAAGCUUUUAUAAUCUGUAAAAUGAGAUACUGGGAACAAUUUAAAGUGAGAUCUCAAAAACGUUCUGCAACAGAAAAAAACUCCAGUCAGGGUCGCGAUGCAGAGGAGCUGAAUUACGCUGCUUUACAUUUCAAUAAGAAGAAGAAUACCAACAGAGUGAAAAGAAAGGAAAAAAAUCCUGAAGAUAUUUGUGUUUAUUCUACAGUGAGAUCUGCGACCUAGAAUAAAUCUGUUAAUUGAAUUAUUUAAUUUAUUAAUUCAAAUCUCAUUCCCAGGAAUGACUGAUUGUGAUAUUAGAUAUGAGAGGUGAAUUUUAUGUCUGUCAUUUGUAAUUCUUUCUGUGAGAAGAUCAAAGCCGUCGAACAUUUUCUU